UACGGAGGGGGCUAGCGUUGUUCGGAAUUACUGGGCGUAAAGCGCGCGUAGGCGGCUUUGUAAGUUAGAGGUGAAAGCCCGGAGCUCAACUUCGGAAUUGCCUUUAAGACUGCAUCGCUCGAAUCAUGGAGAGGUGAGUGGAAUUCCGAGUGUAGAGGUGAAAUUCGUAGAUAUUCGGAAGAACACCAGUGGCGAAGGCGACUCACUGGACAUGUAUUGACGCUGAGGUGCGAAAGCGUGGGGAGCAAACAGG
Molecule: ribosomal RNA, 253 nt
Filed under: uncultured bacterium
Lineage: Bacteria
Description: partial 16S ribosomal RNA
Rfam family: Bacterial small subunit ribosomal RNA
Source: RNAcentral